CUACGGGGGGCAGCAGUGAGGAAUAUUGCACAAUGGGGGGAACCCUGAUGCAGCAACGCCGCGUGGAGGAUGACGCAUUUCGGUGUGUAAACUCCUUUUAUAUGUCAAGAAAAUGACGGUAGCAUAUGAAUAAGCACCGGCUAACUCCGUGCCAGCAGCCGCGGUAAUACGGAGGGUGCAAGCGUUACUCGGAAUCACUGGGCGUAAAGGACGCGUAGGCGGGUUUGAAAGUCAGGUGUGAAAUCCUACAGCUUAACUGUAGAACUGCACUUGAAACUUCUAAUCUAGAGUAUGGGAGGGGGAGAUGGAAUUAGUGGUGUAGGGGUAAAAUCCGUAGAUAUCACUAGGAAUACCUAAAGCGAAGGCGAUCUCCUGGAACAUUACUGACGCUAAGGCGCGAAAGCGUGGGGAGCAAACAGGAUUAGAUACCCUUGUAGUC
Molecule: ribosomal RNA, 439 nt
Filed under: uncultured bacterium
Lineage: Bacteria
Description: partial 16S ribosomal RNA
Rfam family: Bacterial small subunit ribosomal RNA
Source: RNAcentral